AAACAACUAUUCUGGAAGCAGAUUUCAUCAAGAUGCAGGCAACCUUGGAGAAGGAGAGCAGAGAGCUUGUCUGUUCCAGCUUUCCAUGCAGUCUUUGCAAAGCAACAGCCCAGGACAGAAAUGGGAGGCGGUGGAUGUCCUGAAUCGGGGGCUGGGGCCGUGAUGCGUUGGAUGUGGGCUAAUAAACUGAGACUGAAUCCAGACAAGACGGAGCUUGGGCCUGGGAUACCUGAGGGACUGCCUGCUCCCAAGGGUUGCUGCCCGCUUGACGAGAUCAUCUGAGGGGGCUCUGCUCUGGAUGUUGAGAAUGAGGGAGGCUCGGUUGUCGUGCACGCGGGACAGGGCCUUCUCUGUUGCUGCCCCCAGGCUUUGGAAUGCUCUCCCAGUGGCCAUUCGCUCCUCGGACUCCAUCACAGUUUUUAGAAAGCUGGUUAAAUCUUGGCUUUUUAUUUUUACAUGAUUGUUUUAUUGCUGCUUCUGUGUGUUUUUAUCCAUGUAUAGUUUUUAUGCUUGUAUAUUAUAUAUUUUAAAUCAGAUUUGUUUUCAUAUUUUUAGCUUAAUUACUUUUAACUGGUAUUUUUAUUAUAUGUGUUUUAACUUUUGUGAACUGCCUUGGGAUUGUUUUUAAUGGA
Long non-coding RNA from Hemicordylus capensis (graceful crag lizard), 632 nucleotides. RefSeq lists it as uncharacterized. The transcript has 3 exons. The record is from RefSeq and is a predicted model, not a curated record. Lineage: Eukaryota; Metazoa; Chordata; Lepidosauria; Squamata; Cordylidae.